GUUUUGCAAAACCAGUAUAUCCAGGACAAACUCUACAAACUGAGAUGUGGAAGGAAGGAAACAGAAUUCAUUUUCAAACCAAGGUCCAAGAAACUGGAGACAUUGUCAUUUCAAAUGCAUAUGUGGAUCUUGCACCAACAUCUGGUACUUCAGCUAAGACACCCUCUGAGGGCGGGAAGCUUCAGAGUACCUUUGUAUUUGAGGAAAUAGGACGCCGCCUAAAGGAUAUUGGGCCUGAGGUGGUGAAGAAAG
RNAcentral lists this unclassified non-coding RNA (252 nucleotides) under Hevea brasiliensis (rubber tree). The record is from RNAcentral. Lineage: Eukaryota; Viridiplantae; Streptophyta; Magnoliopsida; Malpighiales; Euphorbiaceae.